GUAAGUGUUUUAGGGCGUUCGGUGGAUGCCUUGGCACAUGGAGCCGAUGAAGGACGUGGUGGUCUGCGAUAAGCCUCGGGGAGUUGGCGUGCGAGCUGUGAUCCGAGGGUGUCCGAAUGGGGGAACCUGGCCAGAGUUAUGUUUGGUUACCUGCAUCUGAAUGUAUAGGGUGUAGGGGGUGACGUAGGGAAGUGAAACAUCUUAGUACCUACAGGAAAAGAUAUUCUGUGAGUAGUGGCGAGCGAAAGCGGAUUAGGUUAAACCGGGUGUGUGUGAUAGCUGUCGGGCGUUGCAUAUCCGGGGUUGUGGGAGCUGCUGAGGCCUGCCGAUGGGGGUCUGGAAAGUUAUAAAAUGAUGGCGUAGCUGAAUAGGUUGGGAAGCCUGACCGGAGUGGGUGAUAGUCCCGUAAGUGAAACGUUGUUGUCUUUUAGUGGUUUUUCCCGAGUAGCAUGGGACUCGUGUAAUCUUGUGUGAAUUUGCACCGGCCGUGGUGUAAACCUAAAUACUCUGUGUGACCGAUAGUGGAAUAGUACCGUGAGGGAAUGGUGAAAAGUACCCCGGGAGGGGAGUGAAAUAGUACCUGAAACCGGACGCUUACAAUCCGUCAGAGCCUCCCUGGUGGGGGUGAUGGCGUGCCUUUUGAAGAAUGAGCCUGAGAGUUAGGAUGUGUGGCGAGGUUAACCUGUGUGGGGGAGCCGUAGCGAAAGCGAGUUUUAAAUGGCGUUUUAGUUGCAUGUUCUAGACCCGAAGCGGGGUGAUCUACCCAUGGCCAGUGUGAAGCACGUGUAAGAGCGUGUGGAGGCGCGAACCCACUUCAGUUGAAAAUGGAGGGGAUGAGCUGUGGGUAGGGGUGAAAGGCUAAUCAGCUGUGGGUAGGGGUGAAAGGCUAAUCAAACUCCGUGAUAGCUGGUUCUCCCCGAAAUGCAUUUAGGUGCAGCGUAGUGUGUUGCUUGCUGGUGGUAGAGCGACUGGAUAGCUGAUGGCCCUGGUGGGUACUGAGGUUAGCCAAACUCCGAAUGCCGGUUAAGUUUAGCAUUGCAGUGAGACUGCGGGGGAUAAGCUCCGUUGUCGAGAGGGAAACAGCCCAGAUCAUCGGUUAAGGCCCCUAAGAGUGUGCUGAGUGGGAAAGGAUGUGGGGUUGCUGUGACAACCAGGAGGUUGGCUUAGAAGCAGCCAUCCUUGAAAGAGUGCGUAAUAGCUCACUGGUCUAGUGAUUCUGCGCCGACAAUGUAGCGGGGCUAAGUACACCGCCGAAACCGUGGCAAUAUUUUGUAUUGGGUAGGGGAGCGUCGUGCGUGAGGUGAAGCGAUGGUGUGAACUUGUUGUGGAUUGCGUGCGAGUGAGAAUUCAGGCAUGAGUAGCGAUUUGAUAGGUGAGAAUCCUAUCCGCCGUAUGACUAAGGGUUCCAGGGCCAGGUUGUUCCGCCCUGGGUUAGUCGGGUCCUAAGGCGAGGCCGUCAGGCGUAGUCGAUGGGUGACCAGUUGUUAUUCUGGUACCGGUGUAGAACCGUCCGUGCUGAAGCGAGGGAUACUAACCAUCCCGGAUGCUGCUUGACACUUUCGGGUGUUGGGUGGUUGAUGGCGUGGGAACUGAUCUUGUGGUAGGCAAGCGUGUUAACAGGGGUGACGCAGUGAGGUAGCUUCCGCGUGGCUUAUGGCUUGCCGCGUUUAACAGUGUGGCCUGUUUCCUAGGUAAAUCCGGGAAAUGUUUAAGGUGAGGCUGGAUGAUGACCUUUUUUUAAGGGAAGUAGGGUGAUCCUGUACUGUCUAGAAAAGCCUCGACGUGAGGUUCGAGCCGCCCGUACCCGAAACCGACACAGGUAGUUGGGUAGAGUAUAUUAAGGCGUUCGAGUGAAUCGUGGUUAAGGAACUCGGCAAAAUGCCCCCGUAACUUUGGGAGAAGGGGGACCGGAACCUUGAGGCCUUUUUACAGGCUAGGGGUGAUGGUGGCAGAAACCAGGGAGAAGCGACUGUUUAUCAAAAACAUAGGUCUGUGCGAACACGUAAGUGGAUGUAUACGGACUGACGCCUGCCCGGUGCUGGAAGGUUAAGAGGACUGGUUAGUCAUCCUUGUGGUGGCGAAGCUGAGAAUUUAAGCCCCAGUAAACGGCGGUGGUAACUAUAACCAUCCUAAGGUAGCGAAAUUCCUUGUCGGGUAAGUUCCGACCUGCACGAAU
RNAcentral lists this ribosomal RNA (2176 nucleotides) under human gut metagenome. Its description in RNAcentral is "bacterial LSU rRNA". It matches the Rfam family "Bacterial large subunit ribosomal RNA", at positions 1 to 1997 of the family's 2925-position model. The record is from RNAcentral.